RNAcentral lists this ribosomal RNA (500 nucleotides) under uncultured Alistipes sp. RNAcentral describes it as "bacterial SSU rRNA". It matches the Rfam family "Bacterial small subunit ribosomal RNA", at positions 17 to 507 of the family's 1533-position model. Lineage: Bacteria; Pseudomonadati; Bacteroidota; Bacteroidia; Bacteroidales; Rikenellaceae. The record is from RNAcentral.
UCCUGGCUCAGGAUGAACGCUAGCGGCAGGCUUAACACAUGCAAGUCGAGGGGCAGCGAGUAGAUUGCUUGCAAUCUACGUCGGCGACCGGCGCACGGGUGCGUAACGCGUAUGCAACUACCCAGUUACAGGGGGAUAACACUGAGAAAUCGGUACUAAUACCCCAUAACAUCCAGGGAGGCAUCUUCUUGGGUUGAAAACUCCGGUGGUAAUGGAUGGGCAUGCGUUGUAUUAGUUAGUUGGUGGGGUAACGGCUCACCAAGACAACGAUACAUAGGGGGACUGAGAGGUUAACCCCCCACAUUGGUACUGAGACACGGACCAAACUCCUACGGGAGGCAGCAGUGAGGAAUAUUGGUCAAUGGACGCAAGUCUGAACCAGCCAUGCCGCGUGCAGGAAGACGGCUCUAUGAGUUGUAAACCGCUUUUGUACGAGGGUAAACGCAGAUACGCGUAUCUGUCUGAAAGUAUCGUACGAAUAAGGAUCGGCUAACUCCGUG